This 27-nucleotide non-coding RNA is filed under the name Rattus norvegicus (Norway rat). The record is from RNAcentral. Lineage: Eukaryota; Metazoa; Chordata; Mammalia; Rodentia; Muridae.
UCCAGAAAAGCCAACCUCGAGUGUAGC